UUCAAAGGAUUUAACCCAAACAGAGUUUUGUAGAAGUGGUUUCUUGAUCCAAACAAAGAAUUGCAUAACAAAAUAAUUAACUAAAACUAGUUUCCCUAGAAUUUCUCCUAAAACUGUUUUUCUAAAGACCCAACUUAAAUUCUCCUAAUCCAAACAACCACUGAUGUCCCUACUCAGGUUCUUCUUCCUUCCACAUCGUGCCUUUUCGGUGGCCAUGAGCUGGUAACAAAUAUAGCUCGGAAGCGGGAGAAGCCUGGAUACAUGUUCUACUAAUUUAUUUCAAGUCAUGUUGAUCUCCCCCACAGAUUUCUGAUUUGGCUUUCUUGUUCCACCAGUCACGCGGAUGCCCUUUCUUCAAGUCCCAGGAUGUGUAUGGUCGUAGGCUCACUUCGGUUCAGACCGCCGGGCACAGGCGCUACCCGGUGUUCAGCAAGCCAACCGAGCCGCUCAGCUGGUUCCUGACUCCCUGUUGCGAAUCAAAUCAGUUGCCACAUGCACAAACAUAUACAUUUGCUAUGCCAACAACUGCUGGAUCUGCAAGGAUACAAGCAAAAAUAGCACCCUACAGGAUGCCAGUAUCUGAAGCAAUUUGUAAAAUAGCACCAUGUCUGCUUAGCUGCAAUCUACUCUAUCAUAACGUCAUGGUGGUUCAGAUGAAAAUGUAAGUGAGAACAUCACCUAAAAGUCCAUCAUGGUGCCUCCGGGUUAACCUUUAAUGUGGAUUGUGCGGACUGAGCCGGGGUAGCAUUCUUCCUUCGACGGACCUCACCUCCUGCUCUUCACUGGCUGCGGCCACCGACCUCUUGCACACAGCCGGACGCGCAGUUCGAAUCCUCCAGCACUGUCGGCUUCGCCUCGUGUGGUGGCAACAGGACUAGGGGCACUGGAUAUGGAUGUUCCAGGCUGUUUGGUCAACUCCUUCUGAAGGGGAAACCUGAGAAAAUACACAGGAAUCAAUGGCGGCGGCCAACCUAAAUCAACAAACAACUACCUGGCAGUAAGGACUACAGGUUGUCAAAUGAGGAAGGGGAAGAGCAGUACACGGGUUCGGAGCGAGAUAGUGCAUAGCAAACAUAUAGCAAUCAGCAAAAUCUCUACUGACAGUGUGCAGCUACCUACAACAUAUUUUAGUUUGCACGAGCGCACUACACGACUACAACAUUGUAAGCAGUGCCUAGCAAAUCAGCAUGAACCAUUUCUGAGAAAUUGUGCAGCUAGUUGACGCAACAGAUUCAGAUGUUAUACCUCUUAGACCAACAAGGGGCAUGAGGGUCGACCCUGUCCGUUAACUGCGGAUGCUGUCGGCGAAGCCCCUCGACGACGCCGCUCGCUGCAGUUCGCCCUCUCAGUACCACCGCCGCCAAUUUGCUGCCCGCAUCCAGAUCCAACAUUCGAGUCCGCCUGAACCGCAGGGUUAGCUUGGUCUGUCGUCAACAACGCCAAAGGUACCGGAUCUGGAUUUUCAAGGCUGUCCUCGAACUCCUCCUUGAGAGGGAAC
RNAcentral lists this long non-coding RNA (1498 nucleotides) under Triticum aestivum (bread wheat). RNAcentral describes it as "long non-coding RNA (TAES_LNC013641)". The record is from RNAcentral. Lineage: Eukaryota; Viridiplantae; Streptophyta; Magnoliopsida; Poales; Poaceae.